This 315-nucleotide ribosomal RNA is filed under the name uncultured Pseudomonadota bacterium. RNAcentral's name for it is "bacterial SSU rRNA". It matches the Rfam family "Bacterial small subunit ribosomal RNA", at positions 28 to 351 of the family's 1533-position model. The record is from RNAcentral. Lineage: Bacteria; Pseudomonadati; Pseudomonadota.
AUUGAACGCUGGCGGUAUGCUUAACACAUGCAAGUCGAACGGUAGCCGCUUCGGUGGCGAGAGUGGCGGACGGGUGAGUAACGCGUAGGAAUCUGCCUGUUAGUGGGGGACAACGUGGGGAAACCCACGCUAAUACCGCAUACGCCCUACGGGGGAAAGCGGGGGACUUUCGGGCCUCGCGCUGACAGAUGAGCCUGCGUGGGAUUAGCUGGUUGGCGGGGUAAAGGCCCACCAAGGCGACGAUCCCUAGCUGGUCUGAGAGGACGACCAGCCACACUGGGACUGAGACACGGCCCAGACUCCUACGGGAGGCUG